This is a long non-coding RNA of Neomonachus schauinslandi (Hawaiian monk seal), 1439 nucleotides long. RefSeq lists it as uncharacterized. The record is from RefSeq and is a predicted model, not a curated record. The transcript has 8 exons. NCBI's taxonomy places the organism in Eukaryota, Metazoa, Chordata, Mammalia, Carnivora, Phocidae.
UGUUCCAGUCCAAACCCAGAGGCCUGAGGAGCAGGAGAGCCAAGUCCCAGUCCAAGUCUGAAGGCCCAAGAAUCAGAAGCACGGAUGUCCAAGGGAAAUGAGCCCUUGGGGGGAAAUGAACUAUCUUUCUUUCUUGAGCCACCUUUGUCAGAAGCUUCCUGUGCCCCUUGGAGAGAUGAGAAAUGAAGGAUCCAGGAAGUUAAAUGACUUUCCCAAGACUGAUGGGGCUUGGACGCAAGCCUGGAACUUUCUGUCAUAUCACACUGCCUCCUGAGACACAAGUUGCGUAUCGAGCUGGAGGAUGUAGAAAGAGGAGGAGGAGAAGGAAAAUAAGAAGAUGAGACAUUGGUCAGCCCUGAGGACUGGGUGUCCUACUUGGCGAGAUGGAGCAAGACACGACCACUAUAAAUAUUAAAUAAGAGGACUCAGCACGUGGUGGUUUAAUGGAUGCGGAUAAGGAAUCAAGACGCAAGCCAGGAAUUUGAUCCAGGAGCCUGGGAAGAUUAUGCAUUGUGGAAAAUCCAGAGUGGGAGCCGGUCCUGGAGGAGAGAGGAGCCAGGCCGGGGAGCCACUAAAAUCUACUGGACUGGGCCAGUGAGAUGAGCCUCUUUUCCAUGCCUGGGCUUGAACACAUACUUGAAGGAUGAUGAGAAGGCAGGACUCAUGGCUGACCUGGGACAGAUGGAGUGACAUGUCCUGUGUGGUCCCAGGGACAAUGUUUGGGCCAAUUCAGGGAUGUUGCAAAGAGGCAGAUUUUGGCUCAGUUCAAGGAAGAACUUCACAACAAUUGCUGAUAUUUUAACCAUGAAGGAGGCAAAAAAGGAGUUUCAGUCCCCAGAAGCCUUGAGUAGAAUAUGGACUUGCCGAGGAUGCUGAAGAAGGGAGCCAGGCUCCAGGGCGGCCUCACCACCUGCUGGAAGAUCUGUCGGCUUGGACUUCGGAGCACGUGUGCCCCAGCUCAGCUGUUUGUCGAUGGUCCCUCUGCCAUCGCUGGAACUUUUCUAGGAUGUGACUUGGGGCUCCUCCCCUCCUGCCUGGGUUUGGAUUCUAGCCUUCCCUGGCUGGACCUCCCUGCCCAGUUGCCCGGGUCAUUCCCAGGCAGCCUCGCUUGGAUAUGGUUCCCCGCACGUGCCGGCUGCCCCGCGGGGAUGGGGACUGUCUUCCCUGUCUGCCCCAGGCUCCCAAGGCCCGGCCCACAGCUGUGCUGGAACAGGAGUGUGAUGGAUCAUGCCAGUUUCCUCAGUUCUUAUCUUGCCAUCAUCAAAUGAUUCCCCCCAACCCCCUUACAGUCUUCUCCCUUUACCGAUGGUUUUGGAUGGAAUUUAAAAUAAAAAAGAUUGAUUAAAAGUUGGAAAAUGUGUAAGUGAAAAUAAAAGCACUUAAGACCAAUAAGUAUUAUUUGAGCUUUAAUGUACAGAAAAAGCUGGGUAAGAUGAUGU